AGUCAUUAAAAGGGUGCCAGCAAAACCAUGGAAGUCAUCUUCUGAAUGAUCAAAGCAAUAGACUUUCUAUGAUGAGAAACACAUUAAUCCCUUCUUCUACAAAGUAGAGUAUUUCCUGUCCAUCAGUGCUGGAUUGGAUCUAGCUAUGGGGGAUGUGGCUGUAUGAUUGUGUCUCCAUCCACAAGUCUCAUGGAAUCACCAACAAACAAAUCUGAGCUUCCAUCAUCUGUACUUCCCAAGAGGCCUUCUCAGGGAUCUCAGCAUGGGAUGUGUCUGGCAUUACACAGUAGUGAACAGAGUAGCAAUGCUUUCACCUCUAAGUCCCCAUUGUCAUCGUCGUCGACCUUGCUCCUGUACGAUAGAGGUGAUACAUCACCGGAGUCAGUGCGUAGCUUGAGUAGUCUGAGCAGUGCCAGAACAGAUAGUCCUCUGGAUGUGGACAUGCCAGAGGUGGAGAUGGGAAAAGCAACAGCCAGCAGUGAUGAUUCUGGCAUGCAGAGCCCAGACUGCAGACCAGACUACAGUGAGGACAACGACAACUCCGUGUCUGUCUAUCUGGAUGCUAAUGAAGACUGUUGGAGUGACAAUGACAACAACAAUGUCACUUUGGUGGUAACACAAAAGGUUGGCCAAGCUGAUGGUGAUGAUACAUCCUUGUGCUCUUCAGAAAACGGCGAUGAUGAUGAUGACACUGAAGAGAAGGAGGAAGAAGACUCUUUUCUUUCUUUAGCCUCUGUAGAAUUAAUAAUGAAGAGCCAAGUUGGUGUCUCUGAUCUGGAAGUCUCUACCAGCUCUGACGUGGUGAUGCCAAUCAGUGUUUCACCAGAAGGCGAACAAGCAGAAGUUCCUAACAUGGCUGUGGUGAAUGAAUACCAAAGGGAAGUUGUGUAUGAAAAAGAGGAAGUUGUGUUGUCUACAGCCAUUCAAGAAACUGAUGUCAUGAAUGAGACAGUGGUGUCUCUUGAAAAUACUCCUAUAACAGAUACCAGAAACAUAACUUCUUACAUCUCAAAAGAGGAAAACCAGCCAAAGUCCACAGCAAAAAAGACCAGUGAUCUGGAAGGACGUGUUUAUUCCAAGCCUCCUACAAGGGCUGCUCUGACCAAAGCCACAAAACCUGAGGUGAAGAGGUUCCCCAGGCCAGACCUGAGGAACGUGAAGGCCAAGAUCAUCUCCAGGGCUGUCUCUGCACCAAGAUCAGCCAAUCCCGCAAAAACAAACACUAAUGUUAACCAGUCAGCUUCAGGAAGUGUGAAGAUUCAUGCUAGUAGGAAGGUGGAAAAUAAAGCUGUUGGAACAAGAAGUAGAUCAUCAUCAAACCAUACAAGAGGUAAAGAAACAAAGAUGGUGGUCAGUGGCGGUCAAGAGAAAGAUGUAAACACUUUAUCCUUGCCGACACAAGGAGAAGAAACAAUGAAGUCAGAAUAUCCUCCUUCAAUUGAUUUUAAAGAUGAAGAAGAGCCUCAACUUGAGAAAGAAGCUGGGGAAGAAACCUCUAAGAGCACCAGCAAGACUGUGUCUUCCAAGUUGGGACCAUCUCUAGGGACUAACAGUACCUCCACCUCUGGACCCCCAGAAACCAGACUGAAGCCCUCUAACCGAGAAGCCCGACCCACAGGUAGUAUGGGUCCACCGGGAGGCCGAGCGGUUCAGCCGGCUGGUAUCCCAAGGAUGCGCAGCACAGACAAGUCCACAGUACCCUGCAGUCCCACUUCUGUUUCCAGCCCUUCUUAUAAAGGUCCUCAGAAAGCUGCAUCUUCCAAACUACCUGUCAAAGGCCUACCCACAAGCCCCAGCAGCUCAUCACUGGGAAGUACAAUCAGCGAAAGCAACAAUAUUGCUGUAAACAAAGGUGCGUGUCUGUAAGAGAUCAAGUC
RNAcentral lists this long non-coding RNA (1877 nucleotides) under Sinocyclocheilus anshuiensis. Its description in RNAcentral is "lncRNA (ENSSANG00000021371.1)". The record is from RNAcentral. Lineage: Eukaryota; Metazoa; Chordata; Actinopteri; Cypriniformes; Cyprinidae.